Molecule: ribosomal RNA, 239 nt
Filed under: uncultured Acidobacteriota bacterium
Lineage: Bacteria; Pseudomonadati; Acidobacteriota
Description: uncultured Acidobacteria bacterium partial 16S ribosomal RNA
Rfam family: Bacterial small subunit ribosomal RNA
Source: RNAcentral
GGCGACGGGUGAGCAACACGUGACUAACUGCCUCGAGUGGGGAAUAACUCCGGGAAACCGGAGCUAAUACCGCAUAACAUCGCAAGAUCAAAGCAGCAAUGCGCUUGAGGAGGGGGUCGCGGCUGAUUAGCUAGUUGGUAAGGUAAUGGCCUACCAAGGCAAAGAUCGGUAUCCGGCCUGAGAGGGCGCACGGACACACUGGAACUGAAACACGGUCCAGACUCCUACGGGAGGCAGAA